Molecule: ribosomal RNA, 256 nt
Filed under: uncultured bacterium
Lineage: Bacteria
Description: partial 16S ribosomal RNA
Rfam family: Bacterial small subunit ribosomal RNA
Source: RNAcentral
UACGUAGGGUGCAAGCGUUGUCCGGAAUUAUUGGGCGUAAAGGGCUCGUAGGCGGUUUGUCGCGUCGGGAGUGAAAUCCACUGGACUUGAACUGGUGGCUUGCUUUCGAUACGGGCAGGACUGGAGGUAUGCAGGGGAGAACGGAAUUCCUGGUGUAGCGGUGAAAUGCGCAGAUAUCAGGAGGAACACCGGUGGCGAAGGCGGUUCUCUGGGCAUGUCCUGACGCUGAGGAGCGAAAGUGUGGGGAGCGAACAGG